Molecule: long non-coding RNA, 1103 nt
Organism: Seriola aureovittata
Lineage: Eukaryota; Metazoa; Chordata; Actinopteri; Carangiformes; Carangidae
Exons: 3
Source: RefSeq, a predicted model, not a curated record
CAUACCGUAUGUGUAGGGUUUUUGCUACUUAGAAAACUUAGUUUAUUGACAUAUACUGUUAAUCCUGUUUAUUAGGCCUUUGAAAUGAAAAACAAAUCAUUUCAAGCUUCACCCGAAUGUUGUUUAAAGGUCCCAUAUUUGACACCUUACCCAUGUUUUAUUUGAAGUGUUGAUCCAUUAGAAGAUAUAUUUGUGGUUCUAAGAACCAAAAACCAUUUCAAUGUAGUUUUACAUCUAGUAACAACAGGUCGGUGAGCCAAUCAAAAGAGACGCUCUGAUCCUCUCUUCUGAUUGGCUGACUGUUUUCUGAGCGUUCUAAUAAAAAAUAUAGCAGAUUUCAGGUAAACACAUUUAAAGUCUUUACAAUACUUGAUGGUAGAAAACAAAUAAACAAUAAUGAAAUGAAAUGAAUGAUUAAUACUAUAACAGAGGCGUUGCACAUGAGAGGAAUAUGAGUGGAGGACGAAGAGUAAGAGCAGCAGAGUUCAGCUCCGCUGUGUCCACUCUUACAGAGGUGAUCAUUGUUUCUGCCGCAGACCUGCAGAGUGAGCACAGCCUGGUCCAGCAGCCCAGGCCAACAUACACAGAGUCCAGCUCAAGAGCCACCAGGUCAGACCAGGACCAGACCGACAGCAGCACAAGGAGAGGAUUAUUCACACACUGACAGAGCUGGCUUGCUUCCCCUCGUCCUCAUCACUCCACAGCACCAAAGUGACUUUUCGACCCGAGACACUCGACUGUCAGAAACCUUCACCUGGUCUGUGAGAUGCUUUCUGUUGACUGGUCCAGCCUCUUCUUCUUCCUCUCCUCCUUUCAUCCCCUCUUCUCCUCUGGCUCUUGAGCAUCCUGCUGAUGAUACCGCCUCCUCCCAGCUGUGGAGGGACGGCCGUCGUCUUUUGGUGAGGGCUUGAAGAGACGCUGUUUUUCCAUCAUGACUUUGCCUGCUGUGAGAGGACAGCUGUCUGUCAGAGUUUCAUCACUACAGGAACGGUGUAAUGAGGUACACUCGAUGGUAACGCACCGCUGUAGAUGGAUGUGGAAGAUCAGGAACCAGGUCCCAGUGCUGGUUCUCCAGGUACGGCAGAGCAGACUUCAGUGUGAAC